AGAGUUUGAUCAUGGCUCAGGACGAACGCUGGCGGCGUGCUUAACACAUGCAAGUCGAGCGGAAAGGCCCUUCGGGGUACUCGAGCGGCGAACGGGUGAGUAACACGUGAGGAACCUGCCCCUAGUUCUGGGAUAGCUUCGGGAAACCGGAAUUAAUACCGGAUACGACCACGGUCGGCAUCAACUGUGGUGGAAAGAUU
This 200-nucleotide ribosomal RNA is filed under the name uncultured bacterium. RNAcentral's name for it is "partial 16S ribosomal RNA". It matches the Rfam family "Bacterial small subunit ribosomal RNA", at positions 8 to 210 of the family's 1533-position model. The record is from RNAcentral.